This 1686-nucleotide long non-coding RNA is filed under the name Mus musculus (house mouse). Its description in RNAcentral is "RNA imprinted and accumulated in nucleus". The record is from RNAcentral. Lineage: Eukaryota; Metazoa; Chordata; Mammalia; Rodentia; Muridae.
GAUUGAUGAGGAGGCAAGUUGAGGCAAGUUGCCCAGUGCCAAGGAAUAGGAGAUACAUUUCUGUAACUAGUGGUUGAAUGCAGGACACUUACACACAAAGCAACAGCAAGACUUCCACACACCCCACCAGGUGAUUGAUAAAAGUUUGCCACACUUGAGCACUGGUAUAGCACACCAAACAGCCCCACUUAGGGGGCUGAUCCGGAACGGGGCACUCAAAUCUACCAAAGUCUAUGAAGGGACGCAUUCUUAAAUGUGUAUCUCAACCAGUUGUUUGUUUGUUUGUUUAUAAAUUGAGGAAUUCAGCAUUGGAACCAUGCACUCCUGACAUGCACAAGGCAGAGACUUUCCCGACCUUUCCAGUCAUGCGUUUAGGAAUUUACCUUAUGAGUGUUCCAGUCUUGGUUUGGUAGCUGUAAACUUUCAAAUUCUGCUAGAAAAAUUAUCCUAUGAGAAAUUAAUCUUGUCAGUUAAUGUGCAAGUUAGACAGGGGCUGGGCGGUCAUCUUCUGAGGACUGUCUGCCACAGUUGUCAUGCUCACAUGUGAACAUACAUCCACAUGCAUGUGCAAGUGCACAUAUAAACACACACCCCGGAAAAUUAAGCUUAGGCCAUAACAGAGAUUAUACCAUAUGGUAAACCUGUCACCUCCAAUUUUGAAUUUCAAAGUCCCACCUAAAAGACAACCUUGCUCUUAAUGUAUGUUGGGAACAAACACCAGAUGUUCCUAAUAAUUAGAGUUAUUUUUCUUCUUCUUACUGCUGGGUUCAGUGGUGUUCAUUACAUUAUUUAAAAUAAAACGUAUGCAGGUUCAUAAAUAUAAAGUGCUGUUCUCGCUUAGACCCCAUGAGGUAAUAAAUAUAAAGGAGUUGCUGCCUUCCCAAGUGUUCCGAGCGGAACGCAAACCUAAGCUUAUGGCUAAUUGAUCACCCCCAACUGCAGUUCCCCCCAAAACUAAAUGACACCAAUUCAUUUGAAUGUUUGCCUUUUACUCUCCAGAAUGAGAGCGUGGCUGGCAUCGCUUCAUGAUUACAUUCUGGGAAAGAUCUUGCCUGUUAACCUCUAGAGAAGGAGGGACGAUACAGACAAUGAAGACUAUAGCAGACUGAAUUACUCUCUGAGAUGAGGACUUUGCUAUUGCCAUUGCAGGUAAGAUGUUUUAUGACUCCAUAAUCAGCAAAGAAUCCUGUCAGUAAGGUCUGAUUUCUUCGCAGUGUUCAUUGGAUCUUUUAAGUCUACAAACCAAUGAUACAAAUGCAAUAUGAAACAAUUGCUAGGAAGCUAAUUGGCAUAUUUUACUCACAGCCCAUUUUAUUUUCGCACAGCAGUGUACUUAAGUUUUCUACUUAAUAAUCUCAGUCUGCAUGUCCAAUAUGGCUGCCACCAUACACACAUGGCUGCUUAUAUAUAAAGUAAUUACUGUGAAGUGAAUUGUAAAAUUCAAUUUCUCUGUUGCAGUGCUCACACUGCAAGUUCUCAGUAGCUACCUGAGCCUUUGGGGCACUGUGUUAGGAUCAGGUUUCUAUUAUUCUGCAAAGAGCUAUUGGACAGCUCUUCACAGAGAAGGCUGCACACAGGAAGAGGGAAGAGAGACAGAUGUGACUGCUUUGAGGCAGGCAUGCGAAUUGAUCCAUCCAUGGUUCACUGAAGGCCCCUGGAAAGAGAAUCAGGAAGAGAACUCAGCAA